Molecule: ribosomal RNA, 497 nt
Filed under: uncultured bacterium
Lineage: Bacteria
Description: partial 16S ribosomal RNA
Rfam family: Bacterial small subunit ribosomal RNA
Source: RNAcentral
GAUGAACGCUGGCGGCGUGCCUAAUACAUGCAAGUCGAGCGAACAGACGAGGAGCUUGCUCCUCUGACGUUAGCGGCGGACGGGUGAGUAACACGUGGAUAACCUACCUAUAAGACUGGGAUAACUUCGGGAAACCGGAGCUAAUACCGGAUAAUAUAUUGAACCGCAUGGUUCAAUAGUGAAAGACGGUUUUGCUGUCACUUAUCGAUGGAUCCGCGCCGCAUUAGCUAGUUGGUAAGGUAACGGCUUACCAAGGCAACGAUGCGUAGCCGACCUGAGAGGGGGAUCGGCCACACUGGAACGGAGACACGGUCCAGGCUCUUACGGGAGGCAGCAGUAGGGAAUCUUCCGCAAUGGGCGAAAGCCUGACGGAGCAACGCCGCGUGAGUGAUGAAGGUCUUCGGAUCGUAAAACUCUGUUAUUAGGGAAGAACAAAUGUGUAAGUAACUAUGCACGUCUUGACGGUACCUAAUCAGAAAGCCACGGCUAACUACGUG